CCUACGGGUGGCAGCAGUGAGGAAUAUUGGUCAAUGGACGAGAGUCUGAACCAGCCAAGUCGCGUGAAGGAUGAAUGCCCUAUGGGUUGUAAACUUCUUUUAUAAGGGAAUAAAAUCUUCCACGUGUGCGCUUUUGUAUGUACCUUAUGAAUAAGGAUCGGCUAACUCCGUGCCAGCAGCCGCGGUAAUACGGAGGAUGCGAGCGUUAUCCGGAUUUAUUGGGUUUAAAGGGAGCGUAGGUGGAUUGUUAAGUCAGUUGUCAAAGGUUGCGGCUCAACCGUAAAAUUGCAGUUGAAACUGGCAGUCUUGAGUACAGGAGAGGUGUGCGGAAUUCGUGGUGUAGCGGUGAAAUGCUUAGAUAUCGCGAAGAACUCCGAUUGCGAAGGCAGCUCGCUGGACUGCAACUGACACUGAGGCUCGAAAGCGUGGGUAUCGAACAGGAUUAGAUACCCCAGUAGUC
RNAcentral lists this ribosomal RNA (460 nucleotides) under uncultured bacterium. Its description in RNAcentral is "partial 16S ribosomal RNA". It matches the Rfam family "Bacterial small subunit ribosomal RNA", at positions 338 to 795 of the family's 1533-position model. The record is from RNAcentral.